Molecule: ribosomal RNA, 253 nt
Filed under: uncultured bacterium
Lineage: Bacteria
Description: partial 16S ribosomal RNA
Rfam family: Bacterial small subunit ribosomal RNA
Source: RNAcentral
UCCGAAGGGGGCGAGCGUUGUUCGGAUUUACUGGGCGUAAAGGGCGCGUAGGCGGCCCUCUUAGUCGCGGGUGAAAGCCCCGGGCUCAACCUGGGAACGGCGCGCGAAACGGGGGGGCUGGAGUUCGGGAGAGGUGCGUGGAAUUCCCAGUGUAGAGGUGAAAUUCGUAGAUAUUGGGAAGAACACCGGUGGCGAAGGCGGCGCUCUGGACCGAGACUGACGCUGAGGCGCGAAAGCGUGGGGAGCAAACAGG